CAUGAACGUGAGAUCUGACCUGAGCCGAAGCCAGAGACUUAACCGACUGAGCCACCCAGGCGCCCCUCAGCUCUUUUUGAAGAAGUCUGAUGGAGAUGGAAACAAAUAAGACUUUGUCAUGUGGGUGCUGAUCAGCAGGGGGCACUGUUUACCUCCCCUUGCCCUCUUGAAGCCUCUGGAGCCCUCAAGGUAGACCAGCCCAAGGCCGCUUGGAGCACUACUGCAUUCCUGAGGCUGGUGAAUGUGGACAGAUAAUCUUCUCUUGAUCCAGGGAAACAGGUGGAUUGGCUCCUGAUACCCUUUAAAGGCAUGAUGGACGGGCAGCAAAGGGCCCAGCGCUAUUGUUUUCCUGGUGACCAGCAAUACAACAAUGUAUCAGCAGGUGCAGGCGUCCAUCCUCAGCCCUCUCACCUCUGGUAUGACUGUCCUAACCUUGUACUCCUCUUUCCCCCCGGCUUUACCCUGAUGAGCCUCUGACGUCACCUCCAGUUGAGAAGACGUGACACACGGCUUACAGCGCUGUGAAUGUUCUUGCUGCCAUCAGACUGUACACUUAAAGGUUAAAAUGGCAAACGUUAUGGAUACUUUGUUACAAUUUUUAAAGGGAUUUCAGAUAAAUUCAGGGAGGAAAAAGUGAAGUUUGGACUGACCUUGCCAUAGCCUUGCCCUUUUCUUUGUUCAAGCAAUCCAGCAAAUGCUGCGCUUUCCAGAAAAGCUUCUCAGAUAACCAGAGGUCCCUGUGUGAACCUGCAGCUACUGACUCCCUGCGCUCCCUCUCCUCCCCUCCCGUCCGUCCGCAUCGGAGUACGAUGCUCCGGUAGACUCCAGGGUAGCAGCUGAGCUGUGAACUUCCUGGGACACUUGUACUGGACGGGGCACCCUCCCCCAAAGAUGCAUACAUCUGCUGCUGGUGACUGACCCUUACUCUCUACUUUAAACCUGUUGCUUCCUCCUUAUUCAGCACUUUUCCCAAUUCCUAUAAACACUUCCCUUUCCUUCUUUGACACCACGAGGCAGAGCCCCGCCCAGCUUGUCCCGUGAAAGCCCCGACAGUACAUCUCUUCCGGCUUUGCAGGCACCGCGCAUGUUGGCCGCUCCGCUGUAGGGACAAAGCCAGUUGAUGAUAUGAAAAUGAAUGGGCCUCGUGUCCUUCCAGGAAACGGCACAAAACUGGGCCGUGACAGGAUUUAGCUCACAGGUGGAAGAUGGCCAACCACGGCUCUGAGGAAAGAAGCGGUUCUCCGAUCUCAGCCUCACUAACGUCCUCCUGCGUCCUGCUCACAGCCUCCCUCCCCGUGUCUGGGCCCCGCAGCCUCUGGGGGCGCUGACUAGCUUGUGGGGAGAGAACGGGGGAGAGAAGUUCAAGGAGUGUUUCUACCAUUGAAACGGUUUGGGGUGGGUUUCUAUAUAUACGUAAGGAACUUCUUUCAAGUGAACACACCGCCCCCCGCCACCCGCCCCGUCUGGGCCGGGGAUGGCGAUGUGUGAAUGUGUGUGUGCGACAGCAUGGCACAGGCAGAAUUCAUCCUCAUGGAAAUUCCUCCAUCUUCCCAAUGACAUGGGGGCAUCAUCUAGAGCCUCUAUUUUCUCUCUCCCGAGACUGAAGGUUAGACUCGUUCUUUUCAUCGCUCCUGGACCCCUCCUCCAGCCCACGUGCCCACAGCUUCAGCCUCGGACACUCCUCGAGAGUCGUCACCCAGCGUCUCGCAAAACUCUCCCUGACCUGACACUGCCGGUUUGUGCAGGCUUCCAUCCCUGCGGGCCAGCGCGACCACCCGUCCGUCUAGACCUGGAACCUUGGUCAGGUAAUUCCAACAAGCCAUCGAGUACUUGUCCAGAGCCCUGGAGGGGACCUGUGUUCGCUGUGGCUUUCCAAGAAGGGAGAGUGUAUAGUUUUCAGGGGACUAAACUCUUGGAAACAAUGAAUGUGCACGAUGUGUGUGACCCCCUUUGGGUGUGUGACCUCUGGCACGAUAAGCUCAGCUGUCCUCGUCCCCACACGUGGCAGAGUGCCCCAGAGGAGGUGAGGGACCUGAGUGCGGAGAGGCCAAACGUGACCUGCAGCAUUUGUGACUGGCCCACCCUGUGUCUAUUUUCUAAAACCAAAUGUGAUUUUAAAAAAUAUGUGCUCCUAAAAAAAAAAAUACACCCUCCGAUUUUCCUGUUAAUUCCAUGCUAAGAACUGACUGUAUUUCCAUCAAUACCAGGACAGCCUUCUGUUGCUGUUCUGUCACUUUUCUUCCAUACAGCUUUCCUUUGUCGCUUCUCAUUUCCUGUUGUCCGAAAGCUCUCAGCUUGAAGGUAAAGGGAAGUAGGUGGUGACGGGAUAAGCACGAAGUGGAAAAAAACAAUGUAUUUCAUGUUCAAAUGGGAGAAUUUAACCCAACUGUAGAGAAGCUGAGUAACUGACUCGGUGCCACAGACUAAGGUCUGGCGGUGACCCCUUUGCCCCUUGUUGCCUUCUUGUUGCUGUACAGGCUAUGUGGCAUCUCUGUGGCAUAAGGGCUGGUGCCCACAUUGGCCCAGAUAAGUAAACCCAUAUAGGGCCAGGGUCAGUGUGACCUCUUUUGUCCCAUUGUGAAAUCUGACCUGGCUCUCCUGGUCACUUGAGAGAUGAGAGUCUCCCUAUUAAUACACACACCCGCGCGCCAGGACGUGGGCACAGAAGCUAGGGGUGCGGCGUGGCGGGUGGGGGCAAAACGACGGCAGUCUGGGCCUGGAGCCCCUGCCCUUUGUCCCCGUCCUGGGGAACAUGAGGGAAUUCCCGGGUUGGGGAUGAGACAAAAGCGAGACAGCUACAUGCCUUUAACAACAGACGGACCCGCCGUUAGGAGGGCGCGUCAGCAUGUGAUCACGUGCAAAGCCGUGUGUGAGCACCUGUGCCCACGCUCUGUGCGUCCACGACUGUGUCGGUCCCAGCGUGGAGUUUCGUCCUGUCAACACGGCGCUCCGCACGCGCGGCUUCUUCUGCAUGGCCGCCAGCUCAUCCUCCAGCUGCAGGAGCCCCCAGCGUCACACGCAGGAAAUACACACCACGCCGCAGGCUCGGGCCCUGACAGACGCCCGUGCCCACUCCUAGAGGCGCGCUCCCUCCCCAGCCACCUCCAGCCAGCUGCCCUCGGAGUCAUGGCUUGCCUGUAGCCCUGGGAUCUCCGACCCUAAGAUGACCAAGCCAUGCGGCAGGAGAGACAGAUGCCGGAACCUACCUGCUUGCUCCUCUCUUCCGCCUGCUUCUGCUCCGCUUCGGCCUGCUCCGCCCGGUCCAGAGCGUUCUCUUUGUCCAGCUUCAGCAUCUGCAUCUUCUUCUUGAUGGCCUCCAUCCUGAGCAGUGGCUGCCGGCGAGCUCGCCUGGGAACGCGGGAGAACGGGACACUGGGGCCGGGGAGGAGGGCUGCUGGCUGAGAGACCACGAGUCCCCCCCCAGACUCCGGCCUUUAUCUCUGCUCAUGGCUCCACCUCUUAUUCCUAAUAUGGCCUUUCCAGCUCCUUCCAUCCCAUUGUAGUCCUCACUGGGGGAGCACAGGGAGAGUCACUCUGAUGGACUGACAUCACCAGCAAAGAAAAAUUGGGGAACAGCUGAGGCUGAAUUUAGACAAUGGAAAGUGGGGGAGGGGAGAGGUUCUCCCUGGCCCUGGAACUUUCCACCCUCUGGGCAGCUCUGUGGGUGUUUUAAAAGAGUGAGGCAAGGGGAGGGGAGAACACUGAAAUACAGGGGCUACUUUGGCAAUUCUAGAAGGGUGGUUUUCACCCAGAGGGUCCUAGUUGCUCUCUGUUUCCCCCGCCCUCUCCCCCUGCCUGUGUUGGAUGCUGGUUGACGUCCACUAGUUGAGUUUUCACCUUUUGAUUCCCAGUUUUUGGGGAGCGUGAGCAACUGAAAAGGAGAGGUCACUCAUGAUGAUCCUUGACAAUUCCCCCAGAUCCCCAGAUCGAAUUACUGUGCUAUUUCAGGAGUCUUUAAUUGGCAGGGAGACAUCAUUCCUCCCCCUUAAGAGCCACAGGGAGGCAGUCAGCGGUGACCGGUGACCGUUGGGCUCUGGAAGGCCCUCCCAGAGCUCCAAGAGGGAUCGGGAGAGAAGCGGGGGGAUCAGAGUAAUCUGGGUGGGUCCGUGCCCUCUAUUUGCCCACAGUGAUCUUUAAGUAGACCCUUCAUACCCACACCUACCGGUGCCGCUCUCCACUCUCUUGCCCUCUGCUCUCCCCU
Long non-coding RNA from Suricata suricatta (meerkat), 4201 nucleotides. RefSeq lists it as uncharacterized. The transcript has 3 exons. The record is from RefSeq and is a predicted model, not a curated record. NCBI's taxonomy places the organism in Eukaryota, Metazoa, Chordata, Mammalia, Carnivora, Herpestidae.